UGACCUUCUUCUUAACCAAUAAGACUGGACUCGAGUAAGGACUGCGACUUGCUUUGAGAAUUCCUUUCUGAAACAUGUCAUGAACCAGCACUGUCGUCGCUUCUUGAUGUACUUGUAGAUACCUAUAUGAUCUGACACUUACUGGAGAUGUUCCUUGCUUUCAAACAAUCUGGUGUUCAAUACCACGAACCGGAGGUAAUCCGUCAGGCAUACAAAACACCUUUGGAAAUUUAUCCAAAACUUGCAACGUUCUUAACCAAUGUACUCCCAGCACUAAAUCUACUCCAUUCAAUUCCAAAGCUAUACAAUCGAGCACAAAAUCAAAAUCUUGCAUAUGGAUGGAUAUAAACAUCCUUGCAAACUCCCAAGCCUUGAACCAUAAUACCUGUUCCCAAAAGAAUACGUGGACGAGAAUUCACCGUUUUAGUCAAAUGAGCCUUCUUAGUGAACACCGGUGAUACAAAAUUAUGCGUGAUGAUCACCAUCGACGUAUUGCCUACACGUCCUCUGACUUUCAUUGUUGUUGGCGAGUUCAUACCAAGAAAAUAAUACAGAGACAGUUGCAUCAAUUGCGAUUCCAUACUAAUCUGAUCACCUCCUUCUUCCAAAAUCUCAACCUCAAACCCAUUGACCAUCAUCACCAUCAACGCACAGAAUCUGUUGCGUGUCAAUUGAUACAGCAAACCUUUCUAACAUCCUUUUUCUUAAACUGAAUCCAUCUUUCAAAAGUUUCCUCUUCAAACUCCCAAGAAUAUCAGUUCCAUACUGGUCCAGUUAAGCUAAGAGCUACCAGCUCCAGUUUCUGUCUAUCGUUGUCCUAAAAUAUCUCUCCACUCGUGAAAUCCAGAUCCAUCGAAUAUAGGUAAUUCAAUCUUUUUCAACAAAGUAUCUUGAUUAUUAUCAAACACAUUCAAAACAUUUUGAAAACCUAGCUCCUCUGUUCCUAACUCAUUCCGAGGAUCCAAGAUGGCUAUGAAG
RNAcentral lists this long non-coding RNA (978 nucleotides) under Brassica rapa (field mustard). Its description in RNAcentral is "long non-coding RNA (BRAP_LNC003532)". The record is from RNAcentral. Lineage: Eukaryota; Viridiplantae; Streptophyta; Magnoliopsida; Brassicales; Brassicaceae.